This 2305-nucleotide long non-coding RNA is filed under the name Phoenix dactylifera (date palm). Its description in RNAcentral is "long non-coding RNA (PDAC_LNC005030)". Lineage: Eukaryota; Viridiplantae; Streptophyta; Magnoliopsida; Arecales; Arecaceae. The record is from RNAcentral.
UUGAGAGGGAGGAGGACUUUCUUGCCAUGUUCUAAUCGUAUCAUAGCUUUCGGAGCAGAUGGACAAGAUGAACAGGACAUGGGUGAAACUUGUUUAUCACAUGGCUAGCCUAUAUCAAUCUAAAAAAAUUCUGCUAGAAAUUAUAUUUGGAUGCAUCAUCACUAGAUCCAUCUAGUUCUUAAGACCAAAAUGCAAUGAGUUGAAGUUAUGGUGGAACUAGGAUCGAAGCUUACACGGUUAAUAUGAUGUUUCAUAAAUUUGAGGUGAGGAUAUGGUGGAAUGGGUGCUUUAAGCAGAACAAAUCAAUAGAAACAAGAAAUUGCAGAGGAACUGAUGGUUUUGCUGGUCUGGUGCAUCCUCUUGGGGAUGAUAUCCAUGGUUCCCAUGGAUGGAGAGGAUUGUGGAAGGAGUAUCAUGGUCACACUUUGUGACCAAUGAAUGCAAAUAAUGAUAGAUACUGUAGCACAAGUUGCUGAGGCUUCUUGCACAUGCUGUAGCACCAGACUGGUUUGUAACCCAGGAAAUGAUUGACAAAUAAAAUGCACUCUAAUGAACUCCAUAUGUGAACUUGGAUAGGACUAUACUAGUAAAGUGAAUGUAACUCAGCUUUAGUGCUCAUAUGUUGCACCAAUGUAAAUGUUAAACUUCUUUUUUUCUAUGGAAAUAUUUUACCUUAUUCAACCAUUUGUUGACGAUUACCAACAUCACAGACUUUCUUUCUCCAGAGCUAUUCCAAUGGUUUAAAAAAAAAAUGUUUGCAUAUAAAGAGGUCCGUGAUCAUGAAAUACUAUGAUUAUUGGCCUUGGACAAUAUGCUUAUCAACUGGUCUAGGAUAUGAUCCUUCUCCACUGGCUGGAAUGAUUUGACUUGGUACCAAAUUCACAAACUGGAGGAAAAAGAAAUCGCUGAUGCAGUAGAUUGAUUUACUUAUUAUUAAAUCUACAACCAUUUGCUUGCUUAUCUUCAUCUAUAUAUUGGAGAACCUCCUUAACUCAAGGGCCCAAAUUUCUGGUACUGAUGCCUUGAAAUGAAUGACUUUUACUAUCUUAUAAUCCCAGCUUGUAACCCCAGACUAAGAUCUUUGGGUUCUGAGGAAACACUAGAGGCCAAUUCACCGGGGGAAGCCCCAUUCUAAACCUUUCUUGUCAUUCAUAAAAGAGGUUACCCUUGUAUAGUGACCAUCCAAACUUUUCCAGAAAGGUGCAAAAUUUUUCAGUUAAACUGCAGCAGAUGGAACAGAGAUUGGAACAUACUCUGUAGAAUACAGAGACCCUCUCUUUCUACGAGGUGCACCAGCUACCAAGCUGUUCCUCUAUCAGAUUCAGUCCUGGCAUGGCUCAUGAAACUAAUGGAGCUGGCUUCCAAUCUCUAUCUUGAAUUAUAGUCAAUAUAUGUUGGCAGUCUGAGUUAGUACUGGGAAAGUUUUCUGCGAUUAUUCGAGUCUCUGAUCUACUUUCUCUAGUGGUCACUAGAUCACAUACGUGGCAUCGACCAUGGCGUCGGUCGGUGCUUUCCUUCAAAGCUUGGCGGUCCGGCGAAUAUGAAAAAGAUACUUCUAAUUGAGGAUGAAGAUGAAAAUGGUCGCUCCAUAUGCAAGAAUUCUCUGAGCUGCUUGACACAGACAAAAGUUAGAGAAUAAGAUGCACUUCUUAUCUUCAAGGAAUAAAUUCCAUAUGCUUGGUCUAUAAAAAGAGGGAGAUGGGAGCUCAGAAACCAAACUGGCCUCAACUCUUCUAAAACUAGCUUCAAGUAGGAGGUUGCAAAGUCUGUACAAUGUCUCUCAGGAGCCGCCGCCACCCACAUCAAUACCAGGAGAGCAGGUCUUCCUCAGAGGAUGAUUACUGCGCCUACGUGACGAAAAUAGAGAGGAAGACGAGCAUGGUUGAAGGGCCCUACUUCCCCCAUCUUCAGACUGUGUUCAAGCAGAAGGAAGUCCAUGAGGAGGAGGAGAAGUCCCAGCCUGGGCUGUUCGGCCGGCCGAGGCAGAAGGAGUGGUUUGAAGAGAAGGAGACAUAUGAAGUCUCUAAGACCUAGGACAUGGCCUUGCAAGGAGGAGAGUGCAUCAGGUGCAAUCAGUUGGUGGCUGUCAAGGAAGCUUAAGCAUUAUCUAUAGUUAUGUGGUGAUAGACAUGCUAUGGCUUUGCACCUUUAUAAAAUAAAUCUCUGGCUCUUCUGUUCUGCAUCCUAUCCAUUUGAAUAAUACUGUAGUUCUCUAGUAUCAAUGAAGGUAUACUUCCAUAUUUUAGCCUAAAACUUUCACUCUUAUAUGUUUCUCAGGUAGAUGUUUGAGAAGUCUAUGACAACC